RNAcentral lists this long non-coding RNA (220 nucleotides) under Elaeis guineensis (African oil palm). RNAcentral describes it as "long non-coding RNA (EGUI_LNC008336)". The record is from RNAcentral. Lineage: Eukaryota; Viridiplantae; Streptophyta; Magnoliopsida; Arecales; Arecaceae.
CUCCUCCACUUUCACCCCCAGGCAAUGGCCAUAGGCAAUUGAUGGGUGGUGGGGCAAGGGAUGGUCGAUAGCAAGUGGCUUGCCGACAAAAGUCAUCAAAAAUAGGGCCAAACCAUGACCCUUUUCUUGGUCAUCCUCGAGUCCCAGCCCACUCGCUAAUGGUUAGGGGCCCAACAUUGGCCAUGGACUGGUGCAAGGGGGAGUUUGAAGCCCUCAGUGA